Long non-coding RNA from Ornithorhynchus anatinus (platypus), 856 nucleotides. RefSeq lists it as uncharacterized. The record is from RefSeq and is a predicted model, not a curated record. NCBI's taxonomy places the organism in Eukaryota, Metazoa, Chordata, Mammalia, Monotremata, Ornithorhynchidae. The transcript is spliced from 6 exons.
ACUCAGAGAAGGGCUAAAGUAAAGAGGAGUGGAUGAGGAGGUUUUAGGAGGGCAAAGGGAUCACUUUUCUGUGUUUGGGUGGAGUGAAGGAUUGGAUGUGUAUAAAACUUGAUUGCAGCUUGGGAAUCCUGGAGGAACCACCAGCAGAGCAGGCCUGAGAAGGUAGAAGUCAUCUAGGAUGUUGUGUGCAGCAGAGCCUUGAUUUCCUUAACAAUAUGAAGUGUUGUGAGCUUUAAUGAAUGUUGGAUUAUGAGACCCCAAAUUUACAGGUAAAGAAAACAAUUGCAUCUGAUGAGAAUCAACCAGAUGGAAGUAUUUUAAACCAAAGCCUGGGCUUCCCUUGGCGUGACUGGGCUCUACUGGAGGAGUGGUUUGAUUUCCAGCAACUCAUCACGUCAGGUUUGCAGCUCUACUGACCUGGGUGGGAAUAAUCUCCCGAAGAGAAGUAAUAGCACCUUUGGGGCCAGACUGGAAUGUAAUGUGUAGGGAUUGAUUGAAUAAGAGGAAAGACUUAGGGAGGAUGGAAGCAUUGAUGGAAGAGAUGACAAUGACAAACUUCAAGAUUCGAGGGGAAAGAUUAUUAUUGAAGAUUUUAAAUGACUGAUUCUUCAUUAUCCUCUGCCCACCUCCCCAGUGAGAUAUACUGUUGUUUAUCAUUAUCCUUUGUUGAUAUUCUCACAGCCAGCUUUUAUUCCAUGAGAUUGUUGAUAGGGAAGCCAAUUUAAAUUAAUUUUUGAGCAAAAUUUCAAGAGACACUAUCAGAUGUUUUUGCCAGAAUCAGAACAUCUUAUGUCUAUUGUGUUUUCUUCAUCUAUUAAUCUUGUACUUUUAAUGAAAAAUAAAAUCGAGUUUUGCU